Molecule: non-coding RNA, 116 nt
Organism: Caerostris darwini
Lineage: Eukaryota; Metazoa; Arthropoda; Arachnida; Araneae; Araneidae
Source: the annotation of a GenBank genome assembly
AACGGCCAUACCAUGCUGAAUAUACCGGUUCUCGUUCGAUCACCGAAGUCAAGCAUCAUUGGGCGCGGUCAGUGCUUGGGUGGGUGGGUGACCACUUGGGAACACCGCGUGCCGUU